AGAGUUUGAUCCUGGCUCAGGAUGAACGCUGGCGGCGUGCCUAACACAUGCAAGUCGCACGGUCGCAAGACAGUGGCGCACGGGUGAGUAACACGUAGCUAACCUGCCCCGAAGGGCGGGAUAACGCCGCGAAAGCGGCGCUAAGACCGCAUAAGCUCCCGGUGAGUAGAGGACUGGGAGAAAAAGGGCAACCUGCUUCGGGAGGGGGCUGCGACCCAUCAGGUAGAUGGCGCGGUAACGGCGCACCAUGCCGACGACGGGUAGGGGACCUGAGAGGGUGACCCCCCACACUGGGACUGAGACACGGCCCAGACUCCUACGGGAGGCAGCAGUGAGGGAUCUUGCACAAUGGGCGCAAGCCUGAUGCAGCGACGCCGCGUGGGCGAAGACGGUCUUCGGAUUGUAAAGCCCUUUUCGGGUUGACGAGGCAGGACGGUAGACCCGGAAGAAGUGUCGGCUAACUACGUGCCAGCAGCCGCGGUAAUUC
Molecule: ribosomal RNA, 487 nt
Filed under: uncultured bacterium
Lineage: Bacteria
Description: bacterial SSU rRNA
Rfam family: Bacterial small subunit ribosomal RNA
Source: RNAcentral